RNAcentral lists this long non-coding RNA (1025 nucleotides) under Capra hircus (goat). RNAcentral's name for it is "lncRNA (ENSCHIG00000007306.1)". The record is from RNAcentral. Lineage: Eukaryota; Metazoa; Chordata; Mammalia; Artiodactyla; Bovidae.
CAGACAGUAAGGGCUACAUGGUCUUGCUGAGCUGUCCACCCAGCAAUUAGAGGGGCAUGAGAAGCUGCACAGUGACAACCACAAGGAAGUCAUCAGCAUGAGUCAUCUGCAAAUAUAGCCAACUCCAUGUCAUCUCCUUGCUUCAGCAGGUGGAUCAUUUAUAUUUUCCCUGGAAGCCAUCCGCUGGUCUAAAUGCUGGGGUUGAUUUGUUUUCCUGUUGCAGGGGAGAAGGUGGUUUUCCCAGAAGGAACUAGAAUAUGCCUGGCUCUGGCAGAGUUCCAGACACAAGAGAAAGACAGGGAGUUUUUGAAGUUCUCUCUCUCCUUCUGUGCAAAUUAAAGGUCCACUCAUCUUUCCAACCCUCCGACCCUGAGAGAAACACACAGCUCAGGAGUGCCAAGCAUCUCUGCACCAUUCAGUCGUGAUGUAAAUCAGGAAAAUCAAGACCCUGUUCUAAGACUUCAGUGUAGCUGAAUCAGCUGCUACAUCGGAUGAAGCAAAAGCCUGCCAUGGACUAGCUAACUGUCUACUCUGUGUCCACUGAUGGAUUCUAGCGAGAUUUAAUCAUACCUUGUGCUUCUGGCUCAGCACUCAAGUUGCUCAGGAAACGCCAGUCCUUGGACUAAUGGAAUUCACAAUCUUACCAGGACAAAGUGUUUAUUUAUAAUAAAAAGAGAAAUUUUCUAAUAAAGAGAGGCAGAUGUUAACCAUCUUGAUUCAUUUCAAAUGUGCUUGGACUAAUUCAACAAGCUUCAAAUGGAGGAUCAGAGGGCAAGCCCUGUUUUGCUUAUACCCUUCAGGGUCACAUUAAAUCCAUGUUGUGUUUUCUGCAAGAUUAGAAACAGACAGCUAAAUGAACUCAACAGCUCUGAGAUGCAACUUUUCUGCCUUGAAUAGAAAAUCCCACAGUUUGGUUUUCAUGCUUAUGAGGAAAAGUUCUUAUUUAUGCUAAACAGUCUUUUAUUCAAAAUCUCAGAUGUGGCUGGCUUAGAUGCUGAUUAUUCAACAUUCUCAUUAUUCACUAU